UGAUCAUCUUUUCCAUCCCAUUUAUUAAUAAAAAAGUACUUUGUACUGACUGACCUAAUUGUGCAUCUUCAUCUUCACAGAAGGCUUUGGAUGUCCGGUGAAACUUUAGUCAUUCUUCCACCUUCUUCUUUCAAUCGUUGAUGUUUAGGUUUUUUCCCACUAUCCUCAUAAGUUUUGUCUCGAAAAUUUAAGUGGGAUGAAGCGUAGGAACUUCAUAUUCAAAAUAUCUUCCCAAUUUCUCCAUUUCUCAUAGGGAAUGUCGACAAAAAAAAUUGAGAGCGUUGCAUGCCUUGAAGGAAGGUUGCAGGUUCUAUCCUUUUUGCUAAAAAGUUUGGUUCCCACUGUUUGGGUAAAAAAUUGAAAUUGAAGAGUUGCUUAAAAAAGGAAAGAGACAUUCUUUUUGGGACUAAAAGGAAAGUAAGACAAAUAAAUUCUACCGGAUGGAGCAAUUCUUCUUUGAAUUCCUCUGUUGUGUUAUUAUCAAGUCACGAUAUAUGAUUCAUUUAUCACAUUAUGACAAAUUGAAUUUAUUAACUAGGACAGAGAAUGCAACCGACUCUUCUCAGCAUCUGUCACUUCUCUAGAUAUUAGACAUCAUAUGAGAAAUUCAAGAACAAUGGACAUCUCUAUGUUUCCUUUUGAGAGUGAUUGCGUCACCUCACUUUGGUUCAUUGUUUUUUCGUUAGAGAAGAUCCAAUUAUUACCAAAUCAAAAUUGGAUUUAUAUGAGCAAAAAGGUGUUUGCCUUUGUACUUCUGCUGCAAUUGUGAGUGCUACUUUCAUUUAUCAAUUUCCGUUUUCGUUUAAGAUAUGGAACAGUGGAAGUAUUUCUGUUGAAUCUGAUUGUAUAAGUUCAAUUUUAAUAGGUCAGCUUGUAACUUUUUGGGAGGUAGCCAGCAUACCCUUAAUGCUGAAGAAUACAACUUUAACUUUUAUAAAAAAAAAAGGUUCAAUUUUAAUAGGUACUACUUAUGUCAUUUUGUUUUGGAUAUGUGGAAUGCCUAUUAUUACCUACGAAGACAUUCUAACUUAAGUACUUAUUCAAUGUACUUUUACAUUAGUGUAGUAGUGGUGGCUUUAUGUUUUCCUUUCAACUUUACCCUGUGUUACAAAGUAUCCAUCACAUUAAAAUGUUAAAUGUUGUACAAAAUAUAAUGUGAGUGGUACUUUUACUUGGACUAUUGUUUACACGUGUGCACUACCCAUAACCAAACCCUCUCCUCUUUCAGUGACAUGUGGAUUCCACUUUCGCUGCUCAAUUGAUUUCUACUAUCUUUCAUACCCAUUUCUUCCUUCUUUUAGUCUUCACAUUGGAAGAUACAGUAAUGUCG
Molecule: long non-coding RNA, 1330 nt
Organism: Solanum tuberosum (potato)
Lineage: Eukaryota; Viridiplantae; Streptophyta; Magnoliopsida; Solanales; Solanaceae
Exons: 5
Source: RefSeq, a predicted model, not a curated record